Molecule: long non-coding RNA, 3737 nt
Filed under: Sus scrofa (pig)
Lineage: Eukaryota; Metazoa; Chordata; Mammalia; Artiodactyla; Suidae
Source: RNAcentral
GGGAAAGGGGGUGGGGACGGAGGCAGAGCAUGUGUGGGCAAAGUCACGAAGGGGGAGAGUGACCGAGGGCCACCACGGCCACCACAGCUCCUCCAGCCUGCUGGUGCCCCACUGCGUCCGGCUGCCACUCAUUCUGCGCCACCAGCAUCUUCUGGACGAGGAGCCAGGCUCUCCGCCCGCCACCCUUGAUUGGAGAAAAGAGGCCCUGAUGUCAUCCCCAGCAUCAGCCAUCUGCCUGCCACCAGCACGGGAGGCGUCUCAGCAGCCCCCUCCCAGGGGCCUUCUUUCUCGGCUUACGGAAUGGAGGGAAAAGCGUGAACAUCGAGAAACAGCAGACAAGCGACCCCCAGGCCUAGCGAAGGAGUUGUCUUCACUGAUUGGGAGCGCCAGCCUCGAAGCCAGAUACAUUGGCACAAUUGUCGAGAUCACGUCUGGAUGACCUGAGCCGUAUUCGAGCUUCUUUGGCAUUUAAUGAACAAAAUUUCCUCCAAAGGCUUACAGUCCGAGAUUAGGAAAGCUAGCACUGAACUCUGUUUAGCUGAUUUACAGGCUGUCAGUUAAGGGGGCAGGCCCCCAAAUUCUCCCAAACUCAGAAAAGUGUCAAAGACCCACACCUGCAAUAUGCCCUCAUGCAAACUAGAAAGGCACACUGGUACGUCUCAUCUGUCAAAUGAGGGCAUUUGACAGAUGGUCUUCCUAGCGACUCACUCUGACUGUAAAAUUCCACGAAUGGACAUAUCUAGAAAUCUAGGGACCAGAUCACAUCAUCCCAAGGGGACAACUAUACCGGAAACACACACUUACUAAUGGCUCUGAAGCAUUAAACGAAGCCUGUCCUAUGGCUCAUACAGUCUGGCUUUGAAUCCGAUUCUUUACGCAAAGAACCCAACUGUAAGUCAAUGUUCUGAGGCUGUCAGAAAGACUGACCUGUCUCUCUCCCUAAUUCCAUCUCUCUUCCUGAGCCAUCCUUGGCUAAGCGGUAUUUCCCAGGUGUGCUGGACCCCAGCAGCUCCCUGGUGCACCUGUAGUUCCAGGCCUUUCCCCAAAACUCUGAUGGCGUUGGUCUGUGUUAGGGCCCAGAAAUCCAUAUUGCUAUCAAGCUGCUUUGAGAGUUCCUGAUUCUGAUGAUUAGACAAACACGGAAAAUCUUGAAUCAACGAUCCUGCCGGCGACCACAGCUGCCCCUUCCCUCCGGGGACAUGAAAUCAAAGGAUGACUCACGAUCACGGCGGGCGACCCUUCCUGGAGCACCGACGGAACGAGUCCCAACAGAACGAGUCCGGGUUAUCUGUGAAGUGUCCACACCAGGGACGCGGGAACACGAUGACCCAUAAAUCAGCCGAGAGGGAUUCUCGAAGUAAAACCUAUCUCAGUCGCUUACAUCGGAUGUACUCCAGUGCCAUUGCUAACAUGGAGUUCUCCAGGAGACUGCUGGAGAGAAGCGGCCAGUUUACAGACGCGGACUCGGAGAGCAGAACCCGAGGGCUGUUUAACAGGCAAAACGUAACAUUUGCUUCUGAACGCUGGACCACGUGUUCCCCAGUGGACACAGGCAGCGUGGAGAGCAGCCCCAGGAGAGGAUGGGGCGCCCCCGGCCGGCGGGUCUGGGGCCUCGGCCAGGAGUCCAGCCUCCCCUCAGCUUCCUGAGAUGCGACAGCCUGGCCAGUGGGACAAAAGAUUCCAAUCAAAGGACAAGAGGACACCACACAGCCCUGGGCGGCAUGAUUAACUUACCAGAACACACGAGGGGUGAACCUGCCUCUCCAGGGAUGACCACAGCCCCAGGGACCACAGCACCCCUGACCCUGGAACAAGCCAUUCAGAUGCACCGUGUUGUGGAGGCUAAGACAGCAAGUCGAUAUUGGACUAACUACGUGGAUUAAGAAUGAGACUACAGUAUCCUAUUUAGAUGAAAAGAAUGAAGAAAUGUUGAAACUCCCAAAGAAAUAAUUAAAUGGCAGAUUUCUGCUUCUUUAAUUCAAAAUUAUGAAAACAAUGAUGACCCAGCAAGUAUAUAAUAAUAUAUUUAUUAGAAAUGUGAGAUUUUCAUGCAGAAACCCAGAACCAUGAAUGAGAACCAGUAGAAAUAAGAGUCAGCAGAAUUAUGUUCACAAAAAAUCAAGAUAAUGGAAGUUAGCAGAUGUAGAAAUACAAUAAUAAGAUUAAUAUGGUCAAAUAAACUUUACAAAGAAAUUUUAAAUUACUAAUAAAGAGUAUACUAUGAAAAUGGAUGAAACGUUUGAAAGAACUGCAAUUUUUAGAGUGGAAAACAUAGUAAGUAAAAGUAUUUAACAAGUGGGUUAAAGAGUAGAUUAGGCAUACGUGAAGAUAGAAUUAGUGAACUAUGUAGAUCAAGGGGAAUUAUCCAGAAUCUAGCACAGAGAAACAGAGUGAUGGAAUACAUAACAAAGAAAUAAAGAGCUAUAGAGGGUAGAGUAAGAAAGUGCAACAUUCAUUUAAACACAGUUCCAGGAAGAGUAAUCAAGAGAACGAAGAAGAAGCAGUAUUAGAAGAGAAAAUUCUAAAAUGCCAGAACUGAUGAAAGACACCAAUCCUCAGAUUUAGGGAUCUCAAAAAACCACAAGAGCAAUAGAAUAAAAAAACAAAACAAAACAAAAACAAAAAAACUAAACACCAAAUGUAAGGUGAAGUCCUUUAAAGAAGCCAGAGAGAAAAGACAAGUCACCUACAAAAGAAAAGCAAUUUGAAACCCAGAUGACAUUUCUAUAGAAACAGUCAGCAAAUCCUAGGAAAGCUAUUUUAGUAAAAAGAAAUACAAAAUGCAAAUAGUCCUACAAUUAUUAAAUGAAUUGAAUCCAUAAUUUAAAAACCUUCCCACAAAGAAAAUAAGAAAAACUCUAGGCCCAUAUGGUUUCACUGGUGAAUUUCAAACAAAUAGUUAGGGAAAAAGUAAUGUCAUCUUUUCUAAGUAAAUUCUUCCAGAAAUGGAAAAAGAGGGCAUAUCUCCUGUUUCUUUUUGUAAUGCCUGCAUAAUCUAAAAGGAAAAAACAGGCUGAUCUCACUCAGGAAUGUAGUUGCAAAAUUUUAAAACAAAAUAUUAACAAACUGAACUCUAAUAUUUUGUUCAUUUUAGUAAUUUCUGCUCAUAAUGAAAAUAUAGCAAAUUCCAAAUAAAAAGGAAAAAUUUAAAUCUGGCAAUGUGUUUUUAAAAAUAUUUGUAAGUAAACAAUGUACUGGGAUUCCCUUCGUGUCUCAGCAGUUAACGAACCUGACUAGCAUCCACUUGUAUGCGUGUUUGAUCCCUGGCCUCUCUCAUUGGGUUAAGUAUGCAGCGUCGCAGUGAGCUGUGAUGUAGGUCACAGAUGAGGCUCGGAUUUGGCUUUGCUGUGGCUGUGGUGUAGGCCAGCGGCUGUAGCUCUGAUUCGACCCCUGGCCUGGGAACCUCCAUAUGCCACGGGGGUGGCCUUAAAAAAAAAAAAAAAUAUAUAUAUAUAUAUAUAUAUAUAUAUAUAUAUAUAUAUACACACAGACACACACUUAAUGUUGAAAUACUGAAAUCUUUCCUUUUAAACAAUAGAAAAAGCUGCCUAUUUUUUCCUAUUUCUAUUGAAGCUUGGACUGGAAGUUUGAGAAGUAUAAUAAUAAGCUAUAAAAAGAAAUAAAAUCCGUAAAGCUUGUAAAAGAUAGAAAACUGUCUUUUUUUUUAAAUAGAAAAGUCCCAACACAGAAAAAGCAAGUGAAUAAUUAUAAAUUUCUGGAAAAUGCUUACUUUUAAG